RNAcentral lists this transfer RNA (69 nucleotides) under Ictidomys tridecemlineatus (thirteen-lined ground squirrel). Its description in RNAcentral is "Spermophilus tridecemlineatus (thirteen-lined ground squirrel) tRNA". It matches the Rfam family "tRNA". From Rfam's summary of the family: Transfer RNA (tRNA) molecules are approximately 80 nucleotides in length. Their secondary structure includes four short double-helical elements and three loops (D, anti-codon, and T loops). The record is from Rfam by way of RNAcentral. Lineage: Eukaryota; Metazoa; Chordata; Mammalia; Rodentia; Sciuridae.
GGGGUUGUGGCUCAAUGGUAGAGCGCUUGCCUAGCAUGUGCAAGGCCCUGGGUUCAAUCCUCAGCACCG